UACAGAGGUCUCAAGCGUUGUUCGGAUUCAUUGGGCGUAAAGGGUGCGUAGGUGGCGCGCUAAGUCAGGUGUGAAAUUUCGGAGCUUAACUCCGAAACUGCAUUUGAUACUGGCGUGCUUGAGGACUGGAGAGGAGACUGGAAUUCACGGUGUAGCAGUGAAAUGCGUAGAUAUCGUGAGGAAGACCAGUGGCAAAGGCGGGUCUCUGGACAGUUCCUGACACUGAGGCACGAAGGCCAGGGGAGCAAACAGG
This 253-nucleotide ribosomal RNA is filed under the name uncultured bacterium. RNAcentral describes it as "partial 16S ribosomal RNA". It matches the Rfam family "Bacterial small subunit ribosomal RNA", at positions 524 to 776 of the family's 1533-position model. The record is from RNAcentral.